GCCUGUUUUUCAAAAACAUAGCCCCACGAUGAUGUAUGUGAGGUGAGACCUGCCCAGUGAGUUUUAAACGGCCGCUAAAGCGCUAAGGUAGCAUAAUGAUUUGCCCCUUAAUUAGGGGCUAGAAUGAACGGUUAAACGGGUUAUACCUUUCUUAAACACAACACCCUAAACUAAACUGUCUGUGAAAAUGCAGACAUCCACCUGAAAGACCAAAAGACCCUAGGAGCUAUAAUUUGGUUAAUAUUUAAUUGGCUUAAUUUUUAUUGGGGUAAUGGUGGAAAUUCAUCCACAUAUGCAUAAAUUUAGUCAGACACUAGAUUAAACAAGCUACCCUAGGGAUAACAGGCUAAUCUUUUUUAAAAGUCCUAAUUAACAAAAAGAACUAGCACCUCGAUGUUGGCUUAAGAGUACCUGUAGUGUAGCAGCUACAGCUAAAGGCUUGUUCCGCCUAUAAUUUCUUACGUGAUCUGAG
This 472-nucleotide ribosomal RNA is filed under the name Ophryotrocha eutrophila. RNAcentral describes it as "partial 16S ribosomal RNA". It matches the Rfam family "Bacterial large subunit ribosomal RNA", at positions 1798 to 2609 of the family's 2925-position model. The record is from RNAcentral. Lineage: Eukaryota; Metazoa; Annelida; Polychaeta; Eunicida; Dorvilleidae.